This 65-nucleotide transfer RNA is filed under the name Paracatonidia sp. SX-2018. Its description in RNAcentral is "tRNA-Pro". Lineage: Eukaryota; Metazoa; Arthropoda; Insecta; Hemiptera; Achilidae. The record is from RNAcentral.
CAGUAAAUAUUUUAAUUUAAGAUAUUAGUUUUGGAAACUAUUGAUGGGUUUAUUCUCUUUACUGA